Passer domesticus (house sparrow) is the source of this 1697-nucleotide long non-coding RNA. RefSeq lists it as uncharacterized. NCBI's taxonomy places the organism in Eukaryota, Metazoa, Chordata, Aves, Passeriformes, Passeridae. The record is from RefSeq and is a predicted model, not a curated record. The transcript is spliced from 3 exons.
UUGAAGACUUAUCUAAGAAUGUGUUAUAUACUUUCCUAACCUUGUCAGUCAUAAAAUACUUAUACAUAAAAUAUAAAAGAACAUCAUAUUUUCAAGUCUGGAAUAAAAUUUAUACUUUUCUAUGUGAGUUUUUAAGUAAGUUUAGGAAUAAAGAACUAGGCAGAGGGAGGGGGGUCUCCUUUCCUGAACUAUUCACAGUUUAAUGGUUAAUUAAUGUCACUAAAAAGAAAAUUAAUUUUUGCUGGUCCAACAAAAGAAAGAAGCAGAAAAUAAAAAGUCAGGCAAUAUAAGUACUGCAAUAUACAGUCUUCUAUCCAUAUCCAGUCUGUUAAAAUCAGCAUGAUUCACAAAAUUCCUACUUAACAUUAAAAAGAGCCAUAAAAAACCCAUAAAAUAUCAGCUGCACUGCUGCAAUUUUUCUUACUACCUAGUAUACAUUAUUUUGAUAUCCAAAAUAUUAUUACUGGACCUAAAGCCGUUUGUUGAUUAGGAUAGGCUUUUACUGUUGACUAAUCAUUUAGCUCACAGUCUUGGUAACAGGCUAUAUAUAGACUUACAUUUGCUAUUUUUCCUAUUAUAGCACACUAUGGUAAAAAUAAACCAUGGAUACAGAGUUGCUAUUUACAGUUGACCACAGAAGAUAUUCUGGUCUGUACUACAGCUGCAUUGAUUGUGCUCAUGGGAUCUACAGAUUGACAUUAAUGUCCAAAAAAAAAAUCAUUUUGGAUUGUGAAACAAUUACUGUUGUUGUGGUAAUACUGGGGGCUACUCUGGAUUCUCUUCUGCACAAAAAUAUUCCUUCUCUUUCUGAGAGCAACCAUCUGCUUUCCAGUGUGCAAAGAAGUGUGCUCAUGCCCUGGAGAAUAAAUAAAUAACGUUUAACCAGCAAGCCUUGAUGCCUGCAGUUGGGGUGGAAACUAGUAUCAAUAACAAAAGAAAGAUUGAAUCAUCAGUACUUGAUGAAGCAAGUACUGCAUGAAACCAGCUCCAGCUGGGUGAGUACACACAGCCUUAUGCCCAAGGCUUCCACCACCAUGGUGGCUGGAUUUUCUCCUGUCUUCCUUUAGCUCCUGAGCUGAGAAUUUUAAUAAUACAUGGCAGAAAUAUUUAGGGAAGAUAAGGAUUUUUAUUUUUUGUACAAUUUUUAGGGAUAAAGAUUUCAAGAGGCUAACAAAACCCAUUCUUUCAGAUUCAAAGGAGGGAAGUUUCCUUGCCCUUGUGGGCAUUUCACCUAAGUGCUGGAAGAGAAGUAUCAAUAUAUGUGAUGCCAAAUGACAGAAUAAGAAAAAAGGAGAACUCAACAACCUGAAAGCACAUUUCCUAGGACAGGAAAGCUACUACAGGACCUGCUCGUUAGGAGCUGGAGGAGGCCUCAUUGCUGUUAUUUAUUUUCCUCAGCCUCAAAAAGGUUUGUUUAAUCAACAAAUGAAUGUAUCAGGCAGACCUGCAGCCCAUAUUUCCCCCCUAGCAGUUGGCUCAGAGAUUGCAAACUUCAUGAUCCUUUCGGCCUGAGGCAGCUGCAGAACUUCAUGGGAGCUGUACCCCCCCUUUAACUCAGCAGUGUAAUCUGCAAGCCCACGGCCCUGCAGCAGGCAGGCAGCCCUGAAGCCCUGCCGACCUUCACCUGCAGAUGUCCUUUGACACGUCUGCCAAGAGAGGUAAAAUGCCACCCCCAGAGUGGAAGCAGAGCCCGUCAA